RNAcentral lists this ribosomal RNA (346 nucleotides) under uncultured bacterium. RNAcentral's name for it is "bacterial SSU rRNA". It matches the Rfam family "Bacterial small subunit ribosomal RNA", at positions 917 to 1292 of the family's 1533-position model. The record is from RNAcentral.
GGGCCCGCACAAGCGGUGGAGCAUGUGGUUUAAUUCGAUGAUACGCGAGGAACCUUACCAGGGUUUAAAUGCAGAACGACAGGGUGGAAACACCCCUUCUUCGGACGGACUGCAAGGUGCUGCAUGGUUGUCGUCAGCUCGUGCUGUGAAGUGUCGGGUUAAGUCCCAUAACGAGCGCAACCCCAUUCUAGUUGCCAGCGGUUCGGCCGGGGACUCUAGAGAAACUGCCAGCGUAAGCUGUGAGGAAGGUGGGGAUGACGUCAAAUCAUCACGGCCCUUACAUCCUGGGCCACACACGUGCUACAAUGGUAGUGACAAUGGGUUAAUCCCAAAAAGCUAUCUCAGU